RNAcentral lists this ribosomal RNA (976 nucleotides) under bacterium HKG220. Its description in RNAcentral is "bacterial SSU rRNA". It matches the Rfam family "Bacterial small subunit ribosomal RNA", at positions 60 to 1007 of the family's 1533-position model. The record is from RNAcentral.
GGUCGUACGCUUUUUCUUUCCCGGAGCUUGCUCCCCGAAAGAAAAAGAGUGCGCAACGGUUGAUUAACACGUGGGUAACCUGCCCAUCCUAAGGGGAUAACCCUUGUUAACAGGUGCUAAUACUGUAUAACACUAUUUUCCGCAUGUAAGAAAGUUGAAAGGCGCUUUUGCGUCACUGAUGGAUGGACCCGCGGUGCAUUAGCUAGUUGGUGAGGUAACGGCUCACCAAGGCAACGAUGCAUAGCCGACCUGAGAGGGUGACCGGCCAUGCUGGGACUGAGACACGAUCAAAAUCUCUACGGGAGGCAGCAGUAGGGAAUCUUCGGCAAUGGACGAAAGUCUGACCGAGCAACGCCGCGUGAGUGAAGAAGGUUUUCGGAUCGUAAAACUCUGUUGUUAGAGAAGAACAAGGAUGAGAGUAAAAUGUUCAUCCCUUGACGGUAUCUAACCAGAAAGCCACGGCUAACUACGUGCCAGCAGCCGCGGUAAUACGUAGGUGGCAAGCGUUGUCCGGAUUUAUUGGGCGUAAAGCGAGCGCAGGCGGUUUCUUAAGUCUGAUGUGAAAGCCCCCGGCUCAACCGGGAAGGGUCAUUGGAAACUGGGAGACUUGAGUGCAGAAGAGGAGAGUGGAAUUCCAUGUGUAGCGGUGAAAUGCGUAGAUAUAUGGAGGAACACCAGUGGCGAAGGCGGCUCUCUGGUCUGUAACUGACGCUGAGGCUCGAAAGCGUGGGGAGCGAACAGGAUUAGAUACCCUGGUAGUCCACGCCGUAAACGAUGAGUGCUAAGUGUUGGAGGGUUUCCGCCCUUCAUUGCUGCAGCAAACGCAUUAAGCACUCCGCCUGGGGGAGUACGACCGCAAGGUUGAAACUCAAGGAAUUGACGGGGGCCCCGCACAAGCGGUGGAGCAUGUGGUUUAAUUCGAAGGCAACGCGAAAGACCUUACCAGGUCCUGACAUCCUUUUGACCACUCUUAGAU